Molecule: long non-coding RNA, 210 nt
Filed under: Elaeis guineensis (African oil palm)
Lineage: Eukaryota; Viridiplantae; Streptophyta; Magnoliopsida; Arecales; Arecaceae
Description: long non-coding RNA (EGUI_LNC026828)
Source: RNAcentral
GCUGAUGGUGACACUAGUGGUGGCAUUGGGGAGGUGGGCGGGGCUGGCGGCGGCGGUAGCGGUAGCGGAGCUAGAGAGGGUGGUAUAUGAGUGGGCAGAGGUAUUUAGGGAAGGAAAGGGAAGGAGGUUGGGCUGGGGAGAGAAAGGAGGUUAGGGAGAAGGACUGGUGGAGGGCUUUUCUGUUGUGGGUGAGAGUAUGGAUGGAGGAUA